UGGGGAAUUUUGGACAAUGGGCGAAAGCCUGAUCCAGCAAUGCCGCGUGUGUGAAGAAGGCCUUCGGGUUGUAAAGCACUUUUGUCCGGAAAGAAAACGCCGUGGUUAAUACCCGUGGCGGAUGACGGUACCGGAAGAAUAAGCACCGGCUAACUACGUGCCAGCAGCCGCGGUAAUACGUAGGGUGCAAGCGUUAAUCGGAAUUACUGGGCGUAAAGCGUGCGCAGGCGGUCCGCUAAGACAGAUGUGAAAUCCCCGGGCUUAACCUGGGAACUGCAUUUGUGACUGGCGGGCUAGAGUAUGGCAGAGGGGGGUAGAAUUCCACGUGUAGCAGUGAAAUGCGUAGAGAUGUGGAGGAAUACCGAUGGCGAAGGCAGCCCCCUGGGCCAAUACUGACGCUCAUGCACGAAAGCGUGGGGAGCAAACAGGAUUCAGAUACCCUGGUAGUCCACGCCCUAAACGAUGUCAACUAGUUGUCGGGUCUUCAUUGACUUGGUAACGUAGCUAACGCGUGAAGUUGACCGCCUGGGGAGUACGGUCGCAAGAUUAAAACUUAAAUGAAUUGACGGGGUC
Molecule: ribosomal RNA, 573 nt
Filed under: uncultured bacterium
Lineage: Bacteria
Description: partial 16S ribosomal RNA
Rfam family: Bacterial small subunit ribosomal RNA
Source: RNAcentral